AUUGAACGCUGGCGGCAGGCCUAACACAUGCAAGUCGAACGAGUGGCGGACGGGUGAGUAAUGUCUGGGAAACUGCCUGAUGGAGGGGGAUAACUACUGGAAACGGUAGCUAAUACCGCAUACCAUCAGAUGUGCCCAGGUGGGCUUAGCUAGUUGGUGGGGUAACGGCUGACCAAGGCGACGAUCCCUAGCUGGUCUGAGAGGAUGACCAGCCAGACUGGAACGGUGAGACGGUCCAGACUCCUAAGGGAGGCAGCAGUGGGGAAUAUUGCACAAUGGGCGCAAGCCUGAUGCAGCCAUGCCGGGUGUAUGAAGAAGGCCUUCGGGUUGUAAAGGACUUUCAGCGGGGAGGCGUUACCCGCAGAAGAAGCACCGGCUAACUCCGUGCCAGCAGCCGCGGUAAUUC
This 406-nucleotide ribosomal RNA is filed under the name uncultured bacterium. RNAcentral describes it as "partial 16S ribosomal RNA". It matches the Rfam family "Bacterial small subunit ribosomal RNA", at positions 30 to 526 of the family's 1533-position model. The record is from RNAcentral.